UCAAAAUUUUAGCUAGCAGACGUCACCAUGAAUUAAGUCGACACUCAAAUCCUUUUCAAUCAUAUGUCAUAUGAAGAGAUAAAACAUCUCGGUGCUCAUCGACCAUUGAACAUAAACAUUACACAACAAGUUGAAAAUCGCAAAUUCAACUAUGAGUGAUUUGGGAAGGAAUCAGUGGCUAUCUGUGAGUUCACGGGAACUGGGAACUUGGGAUAAACGAGGUACGGCUGGGAAAAUGCGUUUUAACAGUCAUUUAACUCAUUGUUGUAAAUCUGUCGUCUUUCUCUUUGAUAACAACAUUUUCCCAUGAAGAAUCCGCCGCGCCACUUUCCUCUUCAAGCACAUCACAACCACGAGUGCAGGGUAACAUGUUGGUUGUCCAAUACCAAAAAUGCAAGAAGUUCAUGAAGUUGCAGCCUGUGUUCUCUUAUGGAGAUGUCAUCAAUCAAGUCCAAAAUAGAUUUGGACUGCCCUCUGCAGCACAAAUGCACAUUUUUGAUGAUUCCCAAACUGAGGUUGAGGAGGAUGUCCUGCUGGACCUGAUUGAGGCCAUUCCAGACCUCACAAUCAAAGAUCUUGAUGAAGCGGAAUGUUGUCAAGGGGUUCCGCCUGCGCUAGAAAGGUUAACACCGUGCCUACUACAAUUGAGGACAGUGUGACCUCUGGUGGACAACCAGAGACUUACACAACCAGAGACAUUCUGUCGAACUAUUCGUCACAGACGGAUCGAGUGGUUUCAACAGAGAGAUGACAGACAAAGACAUCUUAGUAUAAAUAUAUGUUGCAUUUCUAAAUCUGAAUGAGCGGUUGUUAGGGUGCUAAAUAUCCAUAUUUAUGGUGAGAGUCUUAUUCAACUUUAUGUAUGAUAGUUGAAUUCCUUUGUCUCUCCUCCUUCUGCUCUUUAUUUCCAUACCCCUUUCAUUGUGUAACAAGCCGUCAUAUCGGGUUAGUCCACUAGGGACUUUCCAUUGCAUUAUGUUAGUAAUCAAUUCAACCUAUAUUGUGUCUGUUUAUGUAUUUCUGUAUGAUUAUUGAGCUAGUUAGUAAAUAAAUAAUUAAGCCAAUUUGUGUAUUGCUGAAUCAUAAUUUAGCUUAAGGUUCAUGCAGAUUUAUGAAGUCAACGACGUUCAGAUUGAGACUGAUAUGAAGUAAUAAUAAUUCAUAAUUGACUUGUAUUGAUGUAAGAGAUAUUUAUAUCUUUAAAGUUCAAGUCGGGAGAUAUUAACUCAUUAAAUAACUUUUCCUGUGGUGCCCCAAGAUUGCUA
This is a long non-coding RNA of Oncorhynchus tshawytscha (Chinook salmon), 1265 nucleotides long. Lineage: Eukaryota; Metazoa; Chordata; Actinopteri; Salmoniformes; Salmonidae. The record is from Ensembl.